AUUGAACGCUGGCGGCAUGCCUAACACAUGCAAGUCGAACGGAGGUAGGGGCAACUCUACUUCAGUGGCGGACGGGUGAGGAAUGCGUCGGAAUCUACCCUAUGGUGGGGGAUAACACAGGGAAACUUGUGCUAAUACCGCAUGAUGUCGAGAGACCAAAGCAGGGGACCGCAAGGCCUUGCGCGAUAGGAUGAGCCGACGCCCGAUUAGCUAGUUGGUAGGGUAAAGGCCUACCAAGGCGACGAUCGGUAGCUGGUCUGAGAGGAUGAUCAGCCACACUGGGACUGAGACACGGCCCAGACUCCUACGGGAGGCAGCAGUGGGGAAUAUUGGACAAUGGGCGCAAGCCUGAUCCAGCAAUGCCGCGUGUGUGAAGAAGGCCUGCGGGUUGUAAAGCACUUUUGUUCGGGAAGAAAACGGAUCGGUUAAUACCCGGUUCGGAUGACGGUACCGAAAGAAUAAGCACCGGCUAACUUCGUGCCAGCAGCCGCGGUAAAGUAUCG
This 503-nucleotide ribosomal RNA is filed under the name uncultured bacterium. RNAcentral describes it as "bacterial SSU rRNA". It matches the Rfam family "Bacterial small subunit ribosomal RNA", at positions 29 to 527 of the family's 1533-position model. The record is from RNAcentral.